CCCUUAGAUGUCCGGGGCCGCACGCGCGCUACACUGAAGGAAUCAGCGUGGCUUUCUCCCUGACCCGAAAGGGUUGGGAAACCCGUUGAAUCUCCUUCGUGAUAGGGAUUGGGGCUUGAAAUUGUUCCCCAUGAACGAGGAAUUCCCAGUAAGCGCGAGUCAUAAGCUCGCGUUGAUUACGUCCCUGCCCUUUGUACACACCGCCCGUCGCUACUACCGAUUGAAUGUUUCGGUGAAGAUUCCGGAUAGGACUUUUUUGAUUUAUUUCAAUUUUGUCUUAAAAGCUAUCUAAACCUCAACAUUUAGAGGAAGGUGAAGUCGUAACA
This 326-nucleotide ribosomal RNA is filed under the name uncultured eukaryote. Its description in RNAcentral is "partial 18S ribosomal RNA". It matches the Rfam family "Eukaryotic small subunit ribosomal RNA", at positions 1470 to 1796 of the family's 1831-position model. The record is from RNAcentral.